This 530-nucleotide ribosomal RNA is filed under the name Enterobacter hormaechei subsp. hoffmannii. Its description in RNAcentral is "partial 23S ribosomal RNA". It matches the Rfam family "Bacterial large subunit ribosomal RNA", at positions 2292 to 2821 of the family's 2925-position model. The record is from RNAcentral. Lineage: Bacteria; Pseudomonadati; Pseudomonadota; Gammaproteobacteria; Enterobacterales; Enterobacteriaceae.
AAAGAGUAACGGAGGAGCACGAAGGUUGGCUAAUCCUGGUCGGACAUCAGGAGGUUAGUGCAAUGGCAUAAGCCAGCUUGACUGCGAGCGUGACGGCGCGAGCAGGUGCGAAAGCAGGUCAUAGUGAUCCGGUGGUUCUGAAUGGAAGGGCCAUCGCUCAACGGAUAAAAGGUACUCCGGGGAUAACAGGCUGAUACCGCCCAAGAGUUCAUAUCGACGGCGGUGUUUGGCACCUCGAUGUCGGCUCAUCACAUCCUGGGGCUGAAGUAGGUCCCAAGGGUAUGGCUGUUCGCCAUUUAAAGUGGUACGCGAGCUGGGUUUAGAACGUCGUGAGACAGUUCGGUCCCUAUCUGCCGUGGGCGCUGGAGAAUUGAGGGGGGCUGCUCCUAGUACGAGAGGACCGGAGUGGACGCAUCACUGGUGUUCGGGUUGUCAUGCCAAUGGCACUGCCCGGUAGCUAAAUGCGGAAGAGAUAAGUGCUGAAAGCAUCUAAGCACGAAACUUGCCCCGAGAUGAGUUCUCCCUGAGAC